This 404-nucleotide long non-coding RNA is filed under the name Homo sapiens (human). RNAcentral's name for it is "non-protein coding lnc-SEC24D-1:4". The record is from RNAcentral. Lineage: Eukaryota; Metazoa; Chordata; Mammalia; Primates; Hominidae.
GGGGUGAGGGGUGAGGGCUGGGGGGUGGUGAUUCUGUCUUCAUAGGAUGGCAGCAAAGGCCAAAGUCUUAUUUGAGUUAUUACCAUUAUUAUUCACCACACUUGCCAUCUUAUUUCAAGCCUACAGUGGCGGAAGUGGAGUAAGACAUCAUGUUGCCUCAAGUUUAAUUGGAAAUCGCGUGCCUUGUGAAGAAUGGACACUCAGUAGAUGCUUAUUGAUGAACCUGUUGGUUGAGGAUAACUCGCUAACUUUUCUGAGCUUUGUUGGAAAAACUGUGAGUACCUAUGUUGGGUAGAAAUUGGAAGACAGCCCCUAGCAUUUUACAUCAUCCUUGGAGCUUUAUUUAUAGUCAUUAAAUGCAGAAGACUCCCCAGUUCAUGAAUUUAUUGUGCUCAACAGGACAA